This 73-nucleotide transfer RNA is filed under the name Dictyocaulus viviparus (bovine lungworm). It matches the Rfam family "tRNA". From Rfam's summary of the family: Transfer RNA (tRNA) molecules are approximately 80 nucleotides in length. Their secondary structure includes four short double-helical elements and three loops (D, anti-codon, and T loops). Lineage: Eukaryota; Metazoa; Nematoda; Chromadorea; Rhabditida; Metastrongylidae. The record is from Rfam by way of RNAcentral.
GAUUCCGUAGUGUAAUCAGUAUGCACAACAGACUAGAUAUCUGUAGAUGCGGUUUCGAGUCUCGCCUGAGGCU